This 846-nucleotide ribosomal RNA is filed under the name Alteromonas simiduii. RNAcentral describes it as "bacterial SSU rRNA". It matches the Rfam family "Bacterial small subunit ribosomal RNA", at positions 113 to 956 of the family's 1533-position model. Lineage: Bacteria; Pseudomonadati; Pseudomonadota; Gammaproteobacteria; Alteromonadales; Alteromonadaceae. The record is from RNAcentral.
AUGCUUGGGAACUUGCCUUUGCGAGGGGGAUAACAGUUGGAAACGACUGCUAAUACCGCAUAAUGUCUUCGGACCAAACGGGGCUUCGGCUCCGGCGCAAAGAGAGGCCCAAGUGAGAUUAGCUAGUUGGUAAGGUAACGGCUUACCAAGGCGACGAUCUCUAGCUGUUCUGAGAGGAAGAUCAGCCACACUGGGACUGAGACACGGCCCAGACUCCUACGGGAGGCAGCAGUGGGGAAUAUUGCACAAUGGGGGAAACCCUGAUGCAGCCAUGCCGCGUGUGUGAAGAAGGCCUUCGGGUUGUAAAGCACUUUCAGUUGUGAGGAAAAGUUAGUAGUUAAUACCUGCUAGCCGUGACGUUAACAACAGAAGAAGCACCGGCUAACUCCGUGCCAGCAGCCGCGGUAAUACGGAGGGUGCGAGCGUUAAUCGGAAUUACUGGGCGUAAAGCGCACGCAGGCGGUUUGUUAAGCUAGAUGUGAAAGCCCCGGGCUCAACCUGGGAUGGUCAUUUAGAACUGGCAGACUAGAGUCUUGGAGAGGGGAGUGGAAUUCCAGGUGUAGCGGUGAAAUGCGUAGAUAUCUGGAGGAACAUCAGUGGCGAAGGCGACUCCCUGGCCAAAGACUGACGCUCAUGUGCGAAAGUGUGGGUAGCGAACAGGAUUAGAUACCCUGGUAGUCCACACCGUAAACGCUGUCUACUAGCUGUGUGUGUCUUUAAGACGUGCGUAGCGAAGCUAACGCGCUAAGUAGACCGCCUGGGGAGUACGGCCGCAAGGUUAAAAACUCAAAUGAAUUUGACGGGGGGCCCGCACAAGCGGUUGGAGCAUGUGGUUUAAAUUCGAUG